GGCGGAGUAGCUCAGCCGGUUAGAGCGUCGGAAUCAUAAUCCGUAGGUCGUUGGUUCAAAUCCGACUGCCGCUA
RNAcentral lists this transfer RNA (74 nucleotides) under Rectinemataceae bacterium. RNAcentral describes it as "tRNA-Met". It matches the Rfam family "tRNA". From Rfam's summary of the family: Transfer RNA (tRNA) molecules are approximately 80 nucleotides in length. Their secondary structure includes four short double-helical elements and three loops (D, anti-codon, and T loops). Lineage: Bacteria; Pseudomonadati; Spirochaetota; Spirochaetia; Treponematales; Rectinemataceae. The record is from RNAcentral.